UACAUGGGGUGCAAACGUUGCUCGGAAUUAUUGGGCGUAAAGCGCGCGUAGGCGGUUACUUAAGUCGGAUGUGAAAGCCCUCGGCUUAACUGAGGAAGUGCACCCGAAACUGAGUAGCUGGAGUACGAAAGAGGGUCGCGGAAUUCCCGGUGUAGAGGUGAAAUUCGUAGAUAUCGGGAGGAACACCGGUGGCGAAGGCGGCGACCUGGGUCGAGACUGACGCUGAGGCGCGAAAGCCAGGGGAGCGAACGGG
This 253-nucleotide ribosomal RNA is filed under the name uncultured bacterium. RNAcentral's name for it is "partial 16S ribosomal RNA". It matches the Rfam family "Bacterial small subunit ribosomal RNA", at positions 524 to 776 of the family's 1533-position model. The record is from RNAcentral.